This 433-nucleotide ribosomal RNA is filed under the name uncultured bacterium. Its description in RNAcentral is "partial 16S ribosomal RNA". It matches the Rfam family "Bacterial small subunit ribosomal RNA", at positions 29 to 507 of the family's 1533-position model. The record is from RNAcentral.
AACGAACGCUGGCGGCAGGCCUAACACAUGCAAGUCGAGCGAGGACUUCGGUCCUAGCGGCGGACGGGUGAGUAACGCGUGGGAACGUGCCCUUUGCUUCGGAAUAGCCCUGGGAAACUGGGAGUAAUACCGGAUGAGCCCUUUGGGGGAAAGAUUUAUCGGCGAAGGAUCGGCCCGCGUUGGAUUAGGUAGUUGGUGGGGUAAUGGCCUACCAAGCCGACGAUCCAUAGCUGGUUAGAGAGGAUGAUCAGCCACACUGGGACUGAGACACGGCCCAGACUCCUACGGGAGGCAGCAGUGGGGAAUCUUAGACAAUGGGGGAAACCCUGAUCAAGCCAUGCCGCGUGAGCGAUGAAGGCCUUAGGGUUGUAAAGCUCUUUCAGCUGGGAAGAUAAUGACGGUACCAGCAGAAGAAGCCCCGGCUAACUCCGUG